This is a long non-coding RNA of Emys orbicularis (European pond turtle), 653 nucleotides long. RefSeq lists it as uncharacterized. Lineage: Eukaryota; Metazoa; Chordata; Testudines; Emydidae. The transcript is spliced from 2 exons. The record is from RefSeq and is a predicted model, not a curated record.
GCUCCCAGACCCUGAGGGCACACAGGGGACCUCUGCUGCAAAUGUUUCUCCUUCACAGAGGCUAGUGAAGAUUAGAAGGAGAAAACGGAGGACGCGGGACGAUAUGUUCACGGAGCUCCAGAUGUCCUCCCACGCUGACAGAGCACAGCAGAAUGCGUGGAGGCAGUCAAUGUCAGACUACAGAAAAGCACAAUAUGAACGAGAGGAGAGGUGGCGGGCUGAGUCGUAGGAUGAACAGAGCAAGUGGUGGGCUGAAGAUGAUAGGUGGCGUCAGCUUGCAGACAGAAGGCAAGAGUCGAUGCUCCGGCUGCUGGAGCAUCAAACUGAUAUGCUCCAGUGUAUGGUUGAGCUGCAGGAAAGGCAGCAGGAGCAGAGACCACCGCUACAGCCCCUGUGUAACCAACAGCCCUCCUCCCCAAGUUCCAUAACCUCCUCACCCAGACACUCAAGAACACGGUGGGGGGGCCUCCGGCCACCCAGUCACUCCACCCCAGAUGAUUGCCCGAGCAUCAGAAGGCUGGCCUUCAAUAAGAGUUAAAGUUUUAAACUGCAGUGUGUCGUUUUCCUUCCCUCCUCCCCCACCCAUCCCGGGCUACCGUGGCAAUUAUCCCCCUAGUUGUGUGAUGAAUUAAUAAAGAAUGCAUGAAUGUGAA